This 791-nucleotide ribosomal RNA is filed under the name Rhytidhysteron rufulum. RNAcentral describes it as "eukaryotic LSU rRNA". It matches the Rfam family "Eukaryotic large subunit ribosomal RNA", at positions 89 to 899 of the family's 3401-position model. The record is from RNAcentral. Lineage: Eukaryota; Fungi; Ascomycota; Dothideomycetes; Hysteriales; Hysteriaceae.
GCGAGUGAAGCGGCAACAGCUCAAAUUUGAAAUCUGGCUCCCCUGGGGGCCCGAGUUGUAAUUUGUAGAGGAUGCUUCGGCGUGGGCCCCGGUCUAAGUUCCUUGGAACAGGACGUCACAGAGGGUGAGAAUCCCGUACGUGGCCGUGGGUGCUCGCCAUGUGAAGCUCCUUCGACGAGUCGAGUUGUUUGGGAAUGCAGCUCUAAAUGGGAGGUAAAUUUCUUCUAAAGCUAAAUACUGGCCAGAGACCGAUAGCGCACAAGUAGAGUGAUCGAAAGAUGAAAAGCACUUUGGAAAGAGAGUCAAAAAGUACGUGAAAUUGUUGAAAGGGAAGCGCUUGCAACCAGACCUGCCUGCGGUUGCUCAUCCGGGCUCCUGCCCGGUGCACUCUUCCGCAGUCAGGCCAGCAUCAGCUCUGGCGGUCGGAUAAAGGCGGCGGGAAUGUGGCUCCCCUCGGGGAGUGUUAUAGCCCGCCGUGCAAUGCGGCCAGCCGGGACUGAGGUCCGCGCUUCGGCUAGGAUGCUGGCGUAAUGGUUGUAAGCGGCCCGUCUUGAAACACGGACCAAGGAGUCUAACAUCUGUGCGAGUGUUUGGGUGUCAAGCCCAGGCGCGUAAUGAAAGUGAACGGAGGCGGGAACCUUCGGGUGCACCGUCGACCGAUCCUGAUGUCUUCGGAUGGAUUUGAGUAAGAGCAUAGCUGUUGGGACCCGAAAGAUGGUGAACUAUGCCUGAAUAGGGUGAAGCCAGAGGAAACUCUGGUGGAGGCUCGCAGCGGUUCUGACGUGCAAAUC